RNAcentral lists this small RNA (107 nucleotides) under Marmota monax (woodchuck). The record is from RNAcentral. Lineage: Eukaryota; Metazoa; Chordata; Mammalia; Rodentia; Sciuridae.
GCUGGGCAUGGUGGCACAUGCCUAUAAUCCCAGGCACCUGGGAAGCUGAGGCAGGAGGAUCACAAGUUCAAGGCCAGCCUCGGCAACUUAGGGAGGCCCUGUCUCAA